CUGUGGCUGUCCGUGUUUUACUGACCAACUGAGAAUGUUCCAGGGGUCGAACAGCUCUUCCUGUUUUAACUGUCAAUCGAAAUACACAGUGCAAAGGCCACAGGUUGAGUCAGAGGGUGGACAAAGAAGCUGCCCAACUCAAGGCCUGGGACAGGAAAGCUGGGGCAGAGCGUGAGCCCACGGCUCCCUGGCAGACCCAGCAGAGCAGCCCACCCACGACCCUGUAUUAAUUGUACUCCUACUAUGUGACAGGCACUGUGCCUGGGGACACAAGGCGAGGAAGCCAGACAAAGCCACAGCCCUGGGAGAUGACAUACACAUGUCUUAUGCAGAGGAGGACAAGUUCAUCAAGGAAGUGACCAUCUUCGCUAACGGGAUGGCCGGUCUCGGGUGAUUCCUGAGCCUGCACAGCCAGCAAACGAGAUGCCAAACGGCUCUUCUUUACUAUCGCAUGGUUGGGUUUAAUUCCUGGCUUAUGGAUUUUCCAACAGAUGCAGCUUCUUGCAUAGACAGUUCCAUGAUUUCCAAAACUACCUUUGUAAUUUCUAGGGAUGUCUCUGCUAAUCCCAAGGGGUGCUAUGAAAUUCUUAGGGAAAGAAACACAACAGCACCUCUGUUUAAAUGUCACCCUUUGCAAUGGUAGUAUGUGUAUAAUGAUAUUAGCUACCAUUUGUGGAGUCUUUCUUUUACAGUUUUAUUUGCUUUUAUAGUUGCAGAAAUCCAAAAAGUUGAUAUUUGCAAUAACUCUAUUUUGUGAUGAGGAUGCUGAGGGGUACAGAGAGGUUAAGGAAGGAGCCUGAGGUGGUACAGCCCACGGCAGAGCUAGGAAGCCAGUCAGUGCUGCCAGCCUGCAUGUGCUCAGUGCUUUACUCUGCAUGUUGAUAAAACUCGUAUGUGCUCCUGAAUGCUGUCUGAGUGAGUCCAUGCAUGUCUUGUGAUGAUAUCUAUUAAAAUGCCAGGCUUAAAAACAUGGCAGUUACAGUCUCCUUUGUCCCUGAGGUUUCACUGUCUCUUUGCCUCCUUGAGGAUUUAGUCCCCAAGACAGACCUCAUCACAUGUGGGUGCUCCA
This is a long non-coding RNA of Choloepus didactylus (southern two-toed sloth), 1069 nucleotides long. RefSeq lists it as uncharacterized. The transcript has 3 exons. The record is from RefSeq and is a predicted model, not a curated record. NCBI's taxonomy places the organism in Eukaryota, Metazoa, Chordata, Mammalia, Pilosa, Megalonychidae.